UGCGGGGUGGAGCAGUCUGGUAGCUCGUCGGGCUCAUAACCCGAAGGUCGCAGGUUCAAAUCCUGCCCCCGCUACCA
This 77-nucleotide transfer RNA is filed under the name Halorhodospira halophila. RNAcentral's name for it is "tRNA-Met". It matches the Rfam family "tRNA". Rfam says of the family: Transfer RNA (tRNA) molecules are approximately 80 nucleotides in length. Their secondary structure includes four short double-helical elements and three loops (D, anti-codon, and T loops). Lineage: Bacteria; Pseudomonadati; Pseudomonadota; Gammaproteobacteria; Chromatiales; Ectothiorhodospiraceae. The record is from RNAcentral. RNAcentral also lists the same sequence under 26 other names.